AUCCAAUUUUCCAAUUCUUAUUCCCGUUGAGGCAGAUGUCUGUGACUGACUAAUAUUAGCUAAAUCACUCUCCAAUUUUGUUACUGUUUCCUUCAAAACAACAAUUUUUACAUGUAGCUCAUCUAUUUUGUUUCGAUAUUGGUCACCCAAUUGUUUCUUUUCAAGCUCUAAUACCUUCUUCUUCUCUUGUUCCAUCUUCAACUGAGUGUUCAUCUUCUCCUAUUCCAAUCUAUACGAUUUACGAGUUUGUAGUAAUUCUUGUCUUUGAUUUUCCAAGAUAUGGUAAAUCCUCUAUUUAUCCUUUGACCAGUUUUUCACUCUCUCAUCCAGUUCACGCUUCACUCACAUCUUGGAUUCUGAUUCUACCUUGAUGACUUGUUCUUGUUCCUUGAUUUUAUAAUUUUGCUCCAAUAUUAUUUUCUUGCUCGCUUCCACUUGCCCUUUUAAGCUACCCUCAUCUUUGAGCUUACUCACCGUAAGUUGCAGCUGGGAAAUUUGAUCCAAUAU
RNAcentral lists this long non-coding RNA (507 nucleotides) under Physcomitrium patens. RNAcentral's name for it is "long non-coding RNA (PPAT_LNC014172)". The record is from RNAcentral. Lineage: Eukaryota; Viridiplantae; Streptophyta; Bryopsida; Funariales; Funariaceae.